GAGUUUGAUCAUGGCUCAGAUUGAACGCUGGCGGUAUGCAUAACACAUGCAAGUCGAACGGUAGCAGGCUCGGGAAACCGAGUGCUGACGAGUGGCGGACGGGUGAGUAAUGCGUAGGGAUUUGCCUAGUAGAGGGGGAUAACCUGGGGAAACUCAGGCUAAUACCGCAUAUGCCUAAGGGUGAAAGAGGGGGACCGUAAAAGGCCUCUUGCUACUGGAUGAACCUGCGUAGGAUUAGCUAGUUGGUAGGGUAAAGGCCUACCAAGGCGAAGAUCCUUAACUGGUCUGAGAGGACGACCAGUCACACUGGGACUGAGACACGGCCCAGACUCCUACGGGAGGCAGCAGUGGGGAAUAUUGGACAAUGGGCGCAAGCCUGA
This 380-nucleotide ribosomal RNA is filed under the name uncultured bacterium. RNAcentral describes it as "bacterial SSU rRNA". It matches the Rfam family "Bacterial small subunit ribosomal RNA", at positions 9 to 386 of the family's 1533-position model. The record is from RNAcentral.